Molecule: ribosomal RNA, 396 nt
Filed under: uncultured bacterium
Lineage: Bacteria
Description: bacterial SSU rRNA
Rfam family: Bacterial small subunit ribosomal RNA
Source: RNAcentral
GACGAACGCUGGCGGCGUGCCUAACACAUGCAAGUCGAACGGGGUAAAGACUUCGGUUUUUACUUAGUGGCGAACGGGUGAGUAACGCGUGAGAAACCUGCCUUUCAGUGGGGGACAACAGUUGGAAACGACUGCUAAUACCGCAUAAUGUUAUUUGGGGGCAUCCUUGAAUAACCAAAGAUUUAUUUGCUGAAAGAUGGUCUCGCGUCUGAUUAGCUAGUUGGUGAGGUAACGGCUCACCAAGGCGACGAUCAGUAGCCGGUCUGAGAGGAUGAACGGCCACAUUGGGACUGAGAUACGGCCCAGACUCCUACGGGAGGCAGCAGUGGGGGAAGUAUUUGGGGCGAAUGGGGGAAACCCGUGACCCAGCAACGCCGCGUGAAGGAAGAAGGCCUC